Molecule: ribosomal RNA, 250 nt
Filed under: uncultured bacterium
Lineage: Bacteria
Also listed under: 1 other name
Description: partial 16S ribosomal RNA
Rfam family: Bacterial small subunit ribosomal RNA
Source: RNAcentral
UACGGAGGGUGCAAGCGUUGUUCGGAAUUAUUGGGCGUAAAGGGCGCGUAGGCGGUAAUGUAAGUCAGAUGUGAAAUACUCCGGCUCAACCAGAGAACAGCAUCUGAAACUGCAUAACUAGAGUACAGAAGAGGGAAACGGAAUUCCCGGUGUAGAGGUGAAAUUCGUAGAUAUCGGGAGGAACACCAGUGGCGAAGGCGGUUUCCUGGUCUGAUACUGACGCUGAGGCGCGAAAGCGUGGGGAGCAAAC